AUAAAGAGGAAGUCUAGGUCACACCGCCGGCACCAAUGGCUCUUCUUCAUCUGCUUAUGAAUUUCCUCACGGUGAUCGAAUCGCUCAUAAAUCCGCUUCAUGCAAUAACAAUUUAACUGAUCUUUACAAAAUGGGUCAUCUGAAAAUGAUGCUUCCAUAAACAUAAGGAUUCCUGUUGUCAUGAUUUCGCGAAGUCGACAGGAGAGACUAUGAAACGAUUAAUGUUAGCCGGAGGGCUGGUGGAGCUCUAUUGUACUCUCCAAACCGCCCACUUGUAGACAUUUCAGUGAUAUUUUUAUUUCCGAUGGCCGUCGGGACUACUCUUUGGUCGGAGAUUAUUGCUUCUGAGCAAGGUGCCAAGGCCAUGAAAGUUGUGAUCAGCUGACACCAAAGGUUGAUUCAGUACUUCUUUCAUGUGCAUAUAUAUUUUCGGUCUUUGGAUCUCCACUCAUCUUCAACGAAAGUGUUAUGAUUGCGGUUGCUCAAGGUAACAAUAGUGGAGAAGCCAUUCCUAUGCUUUUGAGGAUCCCUAGAUUUUUUGUUCCAUGGGGUGGAUAUGAUAUGAUUGGCUUCGGAGAUAUUAUCUUUCCUGGUUUACUCGUUGCAUUUGCCUUUAGAUAUGACAGAUCGAGUAACAAGGGUAUCCUUGAUGGAUAUUUUCUUUGGUUGACGAUAGGCUAUGGCGUCUGUCUCAUCCUCACACUUGAUGGAUGGGCUUGGUCAACCUGCACUCCUACAUCUUGUUCCUCGUACUUUGGGUUACAUUUUAAAACUUGCCUCAGAUGAAGAUAGUAUUAAACCAGUUUAACAGCAUUCUUGUUUUUUUUUUUAAAUCCAUAGCUUUUCGUUGUUUUUAAAACGGCUAUGGGAAAUUAAAAAAACAAAUAAAAUUCGUGGACAACAACCUGUGUAUGUUAUCUAUGUGAAUUUUGAUCUCUAUU
Molecule: long non-coding RNA, 941 nt
Organism: Papaver somniferum (opium poppy)
Lineage: Eukaryota; Viridiplantae; Streptophyta; Magnoliopsida; Ranunculales; Papaveraceae
Exons: 7
Source: RefSeq, a predicted model, not a curated record